UACAGAGGCCUCAAGCGUUAAUCGGAAUCACUGGGCUUAAAGCGUGCGUAGGCGGACAUGCAAGCAUGUUGUGAAAUCCCAUGGCUCAACCAUGGAACUGCUUCGUGAACUGCAUGUCUUGAGACAAGUAGGGGUGGUCGGAACGAUAGGUGGAGCGGUGAAAUGCGUAGAUAUCUAUCGGAACACCGAAGGAGAAGUCAGGCCACUGGGCUUGUUCUGACGCUGAGGCACGAAAGCGUGGGGAGCAAACAGG
Molecule: ribosomal RNA, 253 nt
Filed under: uncultured bacterium
Lineage: Bacteria
Description: partial 16S ribosomal RNA
Rfam family: Bacterial small subunit ribosomal RNA
Source: RNAcentral